GCCACUGAACAAGCAAACCAGACAGGAACUCAACCUCACCAGACUGUUUCCGGGUCCCUCUUCUUCUUGCAUCAAACCUGAGUCAUUUACACACCUAACCCAGUCCGGACCUCCUACAACGAGGGGGUGGAGUUUGGAGGUAGAAGAAACUUGAAUCUUGGCAUUGCUUCUUACUAGCUGUGUGUGUGGGAGGAAAUCACCAUGCUUCCCUGCAUGGUGCAUAGGUUCUCCCAAACAGAUGAUGAGAGUUGCCAAUCGUUACAUGUGAUGGGCGGACCGACAACACGCUGAGAGCAGAAUCCAAAAGUCUUCUGCUGGGUCCCAGGCGGUUAAUGACAGAACGUCGCCCACACUUCCAGAUCAUUGCUGCAGCUCCACACCCGCGCAAGGGCAGACAGGACUCUGUGAGACCCUUUGCGACUCAAGCACCAGGGCCCCACCUGCGGCGCUGAGCGCGGCCAGUAGCAACAGCAGAGCGGUUCCCGUGGUCCCCGAGGGUCGCAUCUCUGCCCAGGAGAGGCUGCCUUCGGGCUCUCCGGGAUUAAUCCGAGACAGACGGAGUCCCACGGGCUGCGCGGCGACUGCGUCGGCAGCGACGCGACCUGGAACUCAGGCGCCCGUCCAGGUGAACUGUCGUUGGUCUGGGAGGCGGUGGCCUCCGGGACUCACUCCAGGCGCCCUGGCCCGGUCGGGGCUAGCGCACUGUGAAGGAAGCGGAGGAAGGCUGCUGCGCGCUGCGAUGGGGCUGCCCAGACGUCUAGCUCGCGCGGUUCGGGACGAGGGGAGGCUGGGCUGGAGGAGGAGGGACUAGUGAUAGGAGGAGGGAUCGGGAGGAGCGAGGAGGAGGAGAAUGGCAGGAGAGAGGAAGCACUCGCCUCGAGGAUCGAAAGCAGGCAGUGACCGGAAGGUGGUGGUGGAUAGCCUUGGCCGCCACCCGACCAGGCUCUGGGACGAAUCCAGGCUGCGGGUAGCAGGGCAGCCGGGGGCCUUUGGGGUUAAUUUUUGUAUGGGGACUCCUUCCCGCUGAGGUUCAGAAUCUAGGCAGUUCAGCCAAAACUGUGUGAGAGUCCCUUCCCUCCCUCUGUCUGUCCCACCUUUUUCCUUCCUUUCUUUCUUCCAAUUUACUGAGCAACACCGAACCACUUCGGGUACAAACUGACUGAACCCUGGAGCCCAGGUUGGAAACUGACACAGACGGAGACACUACCCCCUCAUUUCUCCAUAAGUCCUCCCGGAGAGCGGGAUCUUAGCCGGGUCAGGCUGGCUUGGCAGCAGAGUUCCCAACAGCGCAGGCAGAGACCGGGCUUCCAGAUGCCUGAAGUGGCACUCAGAAGUGUCCUUCAGAUCCUGUCAAGAACCCUCCACACCCUCUGAAAGGAGGGCGGCCAAUUCCCAACACAGAGGAGGAGGGCAAAUGUUUGCUGAGUGAAAGCACGCAUGUUGAGGAACAAAAACAUGGCGUUUUCGACACCAGGAAUCAGUCAGGAGUCCUUGGAAAGCAAAACAGUGAAUACAGGAGGAGAAUUCCUUCGCAAAAGCGGAGACUUGACGCCAACAACAGUUGACGUAUCUUUAGAGCAGUUAGCAGGGACUCGAGCUAGCCAUGCCGGAUACCAGCAGGCAAAUUGCCAGGUAUAUGUUCUCCUAGAAUUUGGCCAGUUGAAAUGAUGUUUCCCUGAACUGCAGGACUGUCAACUAAAUUCUUUCAGCAAAGACCCACUAAUAUCACUGCUUCCUCACUAUCGGAGAAAUGUCCCCUUCUCCCAUUUAGCAGCCAGAAUCCCUCUGUUCUUUGCAAAAAAUGUCCCCUAGUUUAGGCUCUUUUAGGCCUCCUAUUAAAAGCAGUCGCUGCUAACCAGUGGAGUUCAGAGCACCUGUGUGUGUGUGUGUGUGUGUGUGUGUGUGUGUGUGUGCAGCUAGAAGGGACGCGCUCCCAACCUUCUUUCCCACCCAGCAAAGAAAGGGCUGCUGCCCAAGUUUCGCAGCUGGCAUCCUGAAUGGGUGCAUUUCACCCAGCCUGUGCAAGGCCCCUCUUCAGACCCUGAAAUCCUCAUUGUGAAGUAGAGCAGGGCAUCUUAAACUUUUCCCACCGGCAACCGUUUUUUUCAUAGUUUUUAAUGUGCCCUUGGGUAGGGAUUUAUAGAAAAUAGGCGUGCAAACUAAACGUCUACUAAUAGUAAACCAUUAUGGAACGUUAAGAUAAUUCUUUGACAUACAUAUAACUUUAACACUUGUUAAAAGUUAAAGCAAAUUUGCAUGCAAAUGAGAUGGAGUUGUUUAUUAUUACACAAAAACUAGAUCUUGAAUGAAUACUCGAUGCUGCAGGACAUUGAGCAUCUGCAACAAUGCUCAGAGUUAAUUUAAUAUUUUGGUUAACGUCCUCAAUGCAUAAAAUGGAAAAAAAAGUAUAUUUAGGGCCAUUUUGGAAAUUCCAUCCAAAUCCCAAGCUAAAAUUCAGUUAAUAUCUUUUAAAUGAAGCUCAAGACAUUGAUUUUAAAAAUCAAACAUUUAAAUACAGUACAACCCAAAUACAUCUAUGUGAAGCUCUUAUGCUAAGGGAUGAUGGUAGGAGAAUAUUGAAAGUUUUUGUUUUCUGUGUUAUAAUAUUAUUCGUCUACAAGAGCAGAUGGUUGUAAAGUAAAACUGCUGCCAUCCAUACUCCCCAAUAGCUUUGCAUCUGAACUGAGUUUUGAGGCAGCGCUUCUUGGUGCCCCAUGCUGUAACAGUGUGCACAGAGCAAGGAGAGCAUGGAGCGUGUAUAGAAGCAAGAUCACAGUGAAGUGCCCUGGUGCACCCUGGGUGAACACUACCAGAAACACCUUGCAGUCACUGUGUGUUUUGAGCUUUUGAAUUAAAUUUUGGUCAUCGCAAUUCAGAAGCCUUUUACUCUUGCCAAACAUUUUAUCCCUUCCUCCCAGGGACACACACACUGUGAGGGAGACACUCAUGUGUUUGUUUUCUGCUACAUGUUCCAAUAACUUGGGUCAGUUUGUAAAGCAAUGCAAUUAUGUAGAGGAAAUGAGAGGAAAGCAAACAAAAAACAGUGGAGCACAGGAUAAAGGCAGAAAUGAAUUUUAAAAAAUUUGCAGACAGAUUUUUUUGUAAAAAAUCUAUUUCUGCGCUUAUAGAGGGCCACAAACCUGGCUUGAGAUCAUAUUUUCUAUCAAGGAAUAUAAUUAGUUGCACAAGUCAUAAUGUGCAGGUAAACAGUAGCUGAAACAGAUUUUUAAGAAAUUGUAAAAAUUUCUCCCAUGCAUCCCUAAAGGAGGAUUGUCUCCAAAGACUUCAGGAUUCUCUCUGUGUUAGCUCCAUGGAGCAGCAACCUUCAUAAAGCUGCUGGUUAGAACGUCCAUGGUGUGACCUGAUUACCAUUCUGCCCCUAGGAACAAAAGCUUCCUUGAGACCAUCAAGAAGGGAGCAGUGGCCCGUUAAAGUUACAGAGCACAAAACUAGGACAGCUUCUAAUAUAGAGUUUCCCUUUAGGACACUUACAUACAGUGUGGACUCUUCCUGAGCGCCCCCUUAGGACAUGACACAUACACGUACCCUGGAAACAUCUGAGCUGUAAUUAUGAAGAGUAACAUUAUGAUGAAUUUUAUUGGUUGGCAAGUCCUGGAAUUAUUGAUGCUUAUGUUAAAUAAAGGUGGCCUGGGCAGACUGGCAGAAAUGACAUCUGGAAAGAACAGAGGAGCCUUGCAAAGCCAGAGUUUGACCCAUAGUCUCUCAGAGUAAUCCAAGCCAUCACCCAGGUGACACACCCAAUCCAAAAAUGGCAACAGCAGUUCAGACUCUGCUGAACUCGAGUGAGAUG
Long non-coding RNA from Arvicola amphibius (Eurasian water vole), 3811 nucleotides. RefSeq lists it as uncharacterized. The record is from RefSeq and is a predicted model, not a curated record. The transcript is spliced from 3 exons. NCBI's taxonomy places the organism in Eukaryota, Metazoa, Chordata, Mammalia, Rodentia, Cricetidae.